CCCAUUGACAGAUGGUAGCUGACAGUUGACAACACAACAAUUUUCUAUUAAAUGUCAGCUGUCUACUCAGUCCAUACAAUAUGUUGGUAUUUUAGUGAUAAUUAAUUUAUGUUAACCAAAUUCCUGUGUCUCAAUAACGUAGAAGGUAAUGUGCAAUCAAAAUGUCUGAAGAGGAAAGUGUUGAUAUCGAACAAGAGUUGGACGAGCUACUGACAAAAGUCCAACCUAACUUGCAGGAUGUUAUCAAACGGAGCUUUACAAAUGUGGUACUGCAACAUACCAAGAAUGGUGAACAGGUGAAGCCAGAUGUACUCGGAGACACUUCAUAUUUUGCCAAAAACACUCAAGUAAACCUGACAAGACUGGAACUAGUGAAGUCUCCGACAUUCCAUGUACAAAACCUAUCGCUGGAUCUCAAGUCUAUGGCUCUUAGUCUGCGUUGUUCUCUGGGAGAGGUUAAUGUGAGAGGCAUAUACAGCGCUUACAAUGAGAACUUGUUUAAUUUAAUACCUGUCAUGGCAGAAGGGCAUGUUGUCAUAUCGUUAUCAAACAUGACUGCAGAUGUGAAUGUGGGCCUGGUGCUGGAAGACGACGCUUUCUCCUUCAUCAACCCCGGCAUAGAGUUUACGCACGACGAGGUCUUAGUAAAGUUAUCGUGGCCUUCACCACAAAGGAACGGCGGAUACGACUUCACAACCACUGAACAGUUAGCUAAACAUAUAGACGACUUACCCCUGACUGCGGCGAUAUCUUUGCCGCUUUAUUCACUGUUAAGGGAUAAAUUACAACGGCAUCUGGCGCUGUGUUUGCGACAAGCAACGAGCAUAUCUGAGGUCGUGUCGUGCAACCCGAACCUAUAUGAGGCUUAUAGUUCAAUGGUAGACUGUUUGGCUCAGAACGGCAACAAAGUGAUAGAUAUCAUUCUGAUCAACAUGAGAAGAACGCUUCUGCAAACAUGUAGGGAGGUGUUGGAGCUACCGCCAUUACAUGCCACGUUUAUGCACAAGAUAGGUUCAACAUCGUUCGUUGGCAGGUUCGAAACGGAUACAGGGUGGGUGAAAAACCUGGCCACAAUAAACAGGAUCAACGACGUUAGCGUCAGUAGGGUUGACCCCAUGAAAACCACCUUCCGUGUCACUCUUAGGAUAAAAGAUUUUCAGAUUGGCUACGACGAGUACCGUAUCAAGGCGAUGGGCGUGUCGUGCAGCGGGCGGCUCGUGGCCGCGUUCAACGACAACGCGCUGCACAUGGCCGUCACCGUCGGCCUCGCGCAGUGGGAGCCGUACGCGCAGCUCGACGACCUGCGGCUGCAGCGGAUGGAAUGCACGGAGCUGCACAUGCCGGGCCUGGGCGCGCUGAGCGGGCUGAGCGGCGCGGGGGGCGCGGGGGGCGCGCGCGGGUGGGCGCGCGGCGCGGGCGCGCUGCUGGCGGCGCCGGGCGCGCUGGCGCAGCUGCACCACGAGCUGCACGCCGCGCUCGCCGACCUCGCGCACCUGCCGCUCUGGGACGAACUCACCGAGCGGUGACCGCCCCGCCGCCCCGCCGCCCUACCCAGCAGUUUUGCCCGGAUGAAAAACUUUUUCCAAGAUAGUGUGGUCUACAUUUAGAGCUGCCGUGACUCAUUGACGAGACAUCUAUCAUCUUCGCUUCAAUAACAGCGCGAUUUCUAUUUACUUCAUUAUUCUUAUUUAUUCUCGUAUACAACUUGCAUUUCUUACUCUAAUUGUUUAUUAUUUUUUAUUAAUGCUAUAUUUUAUAUUCUUUAUUUACUCUUGAAGUAAUUUAUCGAUAUUAGAAAGCAAUUUAUUAAUAUUAUAUUCAAGGCUUUUGCAAUAAAAAUACAUAAUUUUAUUGAAUGUGACUAUUUUUAAGUUUAUUUGUACAUAUUGGUAUAUGGAAAAUAUUUCCACCGAUUAAAAUUGUUUGUAAAAAUUGUGUUGAAAUUGUCGAAAAAAUGUUUGUAAAUAUUUAUUUCUCACUGUGAGACAAUCUACAGGGUCGUUUUGACAUUGCGUUAAUAAAUGAAAAUAAGUACUGGUCUUUACCUCUGCUAACAUUGUGCCAAAAAUCAUCACUUUUACUUACAAUUUUUGUUCAUAAUUUUGUAGAUUUAUGCGAAAAUGGCGCAGGCGUGAUUGUUUUCUGACUGAAAGUGCGAUGUUGCCGCUGCGACGAAUUCUCUUAGAGUAGUAGUAGUGGCAUUAAGACGUGUAAAAUUAAAAUUACUUUUUAUUGAUAUUUAUGUUCGAAACUUACACAUUUUACAUCUACGAUUUCGAGUAACUUAUUGUAAAAUGUUAUUUUCAAAACUAAGAUUACUAUAGUAACGCAAUGUCAUAAUGACCCUGUAUAAUAACAUAAUUUAAUGCAUUGUUAUGUAUGCAAUAAUUAUUUAUGUUCCGCAAGCAAUAUUAUGAUUUAUGAAAUAUUUGCAUGACUCGGUAAUCGCGCAAAUGGCUUGUAUUUUACAGAAACAAUUUGUUACCUUAUUUAACGUAAGUAACGUAUAAGUUCGAAAACCAUGAUAACAAUGUUAUAAAAUAAUAACUCUUCCUAUUCAAUUCACAAUAAAUUAAACCAUAAUUUUUCAACUAUAAUGAAACUGCAAUAUUUGUAUGUUCUAUUGUCUGUGAUUCAAUAAAAUGAAUUUUAAAUGGCAUAAAAAAAAUAAACAAUUCUUCUCGCUAUAACAGGAUCGAUCUCGAAACCCAAACAAUCAAAAUAAUUUAUCUGUGAACAUAUCGAGCGAAUUAUUUUGAUUGGUUCAUUUUAACGAUUGGGUCAAAGCUAUCCGUCGAUUUGUUGUGAUCUAAUUUAAUUUUAACAUAAACUGUGUCCUUUAUAAAAUGGUUUCUACUAUUAUACGUCUGUAAAAAUAUUCAACGUAAAAAGAUAUUAAUAAACAAACAUUGUUUAUUAUUUUAAGUGAAAUGGAACGUCCGUAACUAUUUGUGUUAACUGGUUGUGAGUGCGCUGCAACUCGUGAGACUGUUGUAUUUGUAUUUGAUUAUACAACUUGUUGAAUAAAUUGGUUGACUAUA
RNA transcript from Manduca sexta (tobacco hornworm), 3041 nucleotides. RefSeq lists it as uncharacterized. The record is from RefSeq and is a predicted model, not a curated record. The transcript is spliced from 12 exons. NCBI's taxonomy places the organism in Eukaryota, Metazoa, Arthropoda, Insecta, Lepidoptera, Sphingidae.